AUACGGAGGAUGCAAGCGUUAUCCGGAUUUAUUGGGUUUAAAGGGUGCGUAGGCGGAUGAUUAAGCGUGAGGUGAAAUGCCACUGCUCAACAGUGGAACUGCCUCGCGAACUGGUUGUCUUGAAUGCUCCUGCCGUGGGAGGAAUGUGUGGUGUAGCGGUGAAAUGCAUAGAGAUCACACAGAACACCGAUUGCGAAGGCAUCUCACGAAGGGGUGAUGGACGCUGAGGCACGAAAGCGUGGGGAUCAAACAGGAUUAGAUACCCUGGUAGUCCACGCAGUAAACGAUGAUGGCUAACCGCUGGGCUUAUCAGUUCAGUGGCCAAGCGAAAGCGAUAAGCCAUCCACCUGGGGAGUACGACCGCAAGGUUGAAACUUAAAGGAAUUGACGGGG
Molecule: ribosomal RNA, 393 nt
Filed under: uncultured bacterium
Lineage: Bacteria
Description: partial 16S ribosomal RNA
Rfam family: Bacterial small subunit ribosomal RNA
Source: RNAcentral